GUUGAGUGAGAAGUAAAACCAAUAAAGAAUUGAAAAGAUGGAGCGAUGAUGAAAUAACAUACAUUGAGCUUGUUGAUUCAAGCUUAUGUUAGGAAUUAGAAUAAUACAACACAGCUUUUACUUUAGGAAGGGCAUUUUUACUUUUGAAGUGCGCUGCACCUCACCAGGAGACCCAGCCCUGAAUGAAACAACCAAAGCCGAAGCUGUUUUGGUCCUACGUAGAGAGGAAGUCGGCAACCAGAUUUGGUGCUAAGCCGUCAGCACGCAAAAGCAAUGGUUACCUUCUCCCACUUCGCUUGCUGACUCCUUGUCACUCCCCUAGGAACCAAGGCCCUAGCUUCUAGUCCUGGUGGAUCAUCCAGGCUUGCCCGCAGAACAGGACUUCGGCAAGGACAUAUGACACAUUCAUGGCAUCAAUGAAAAACCGUCACCAUUCAGGAUCCAAGGAAAUCCAUCAGUACGCUGUACAAGCAUGACACCACACGGCGGAGCUUUCUCUGGCUAUUAAUGAAUCAGAAUCAUUUGAAUCCUCUGGCAGAGAAGGGCAUGCAGAGAUGAACACAGCAGAGUUUCA
Molecule: long non-coding RNA, 574 nt
Filed under: Populus trichocarpa (black cottonwood)
Lineage: Eukaryota; Viridiplantae; Streptophyta; Magnoliopsida; Malpighiales; Salicaceae
Description: long non-coding RNA (PTRI_LNC001754)
Source: RNAcentral